RNAcentral lists this unclassified non-coding RNA (333 nucleotides) under soil metagenome. RNAcentral describes it as "partial contains 5.8S ribosomal RNA, internal transcribed spacer 2, and large subunit ribosomal RNA". The stretch from base 1 to 120 matches the Rfam family "5.8S ribosomal RNA", at positions 35 to 154 of the family's 154-position model. The record is from RNAcentral.
GAUGAAGAACGUAGCAAAAUGCGAUAAGUAAUGUGAAUUGCAGAAUUCAGUGAAUCAUCGAAUCUUUGAACGCACAUUGCGCCCGCUGGUAUUCCGGCGGGCAUGCCUGUUCGAGCGUCAUUUCAACCCUCAAGCUCAGCUUGGUGUUGGGACUCGCGGUAACCCGCGUUCCCCAAAUCGAUUGGCGGUCACGUCGAGCUUCCAUAGCGUAGUAAUCAUACACCUCGUUACUGGUAAUCGUCGCGGCCACGCCGUAAAACCCCAACUUCUGAAUGUUGACCUCGGAUCAGGUAGGAAUACCCGCUGAACUUAAGCAUAUCAAUAAGCGGAGGA